RNAcentral lists this long non-coding RNA (554 nucleotides) under Vitis vinifera (wine grape). RNAcentral's name for it is "long non-coding RNA (VVIN_LNC002730)". Lineage: Eukaryota; Viridiplantae; Streptophyta; Magnoliopsida; Vitales; Vitaceae. The record is from RNAcentral.
UAGCCUAGGAUGCAGAGCCUGUUUUAAACUUGCAACUGUCAUCUACUGGUCAGGUCUCAUUUAAAGAAUUGAUGAGUCUGUAAGGUAUAUAUAUUUCAAGAUAUUAGUAGGUAGCUGAUCAGUCAUUUUCACUUGAAACACUGUGGAAGUAACCAAAGAGUUUUGGCAACCGCUCUCGCCUAUCGUAUUAAGCAUGUUAUUACAUUAAAAAGACACCAAACAAUGUUUUAUAGUAAUUUAGUGGGUGCAUUUCACUCAGAAGUUUUCAUCUUUGAACUGAUAUUUUUGUUUAACAGAUUAGGAGAUGUGUGUGUCAAAGGGGUUAUAUGUUAAAAAGCAACUUGGUUAGGUUUCUGCUAUAACAUUUUCUUUUAGCACCUUAAAGGUGGCCCAUCUCUACAUUUAGCUUGUGAUAUUGUGAGUAUUCUGAUAAAAAUUGUGAUGUGUUAUGAUCUUGGAGAUAGCCCAUAUAUUGUAGUUGAAGUGUUGGCUCUCCAUACUCUUCUUUUUUGAAUUUGAAAUUGUCACAUUUGACUCUAAAUUUUAAUUGUAGA